Molecule: ribosomal RNA, 252 nt
Filed under: uncultured bacterium
Lineage: Bacteria
Description: partial 16S ribosomal RNA
Rfam family: Bacterial small subunit ribosomal RNA
Source: RNAcentral
UACGGAGGAUGCGAGCGUUAUCCGGAUUUAUUGGGUUUAAAGGGUGCGUAGGCGGAGUGCCAAGUCAGCGGUAAAAAUGCGGUGCUCAACGCCGUCGAGCCGUUGAAACUGGCGUUCUUGAGUGGGCGAGAAGUAUGCGGAAUGCGUGGUGUAGCGGUGAAAUGCAUAGAUAUCACGCAGAACUCCGAUUGCGAAGGCAGCAUACCGGCGCCCUACUGACGCUGAGGCACGAAAGCGUGGGUAUCGAACAGG